CCUACGGGAGGCAGCAGUGAGGAAUAUUGGUCAAUGGCCGGAAGUCUGAACCAGCCAUGCCGCGUGCGGGAAGACGGCGCUGUGCGUUGUAGACCUCUUUUGUACAAGGAUAAACCUGCAUACUUGUAUUCUGCUGAAAGUACUGUACGAAUAAGGAUCGGCUAACUCCGUGCCAGCAGCCGCGGUAAUACGGAGGAUCCAAGCGUUAUCCGGAUUUAUUGGGUUUAAAGGGUGCGUAGGCGGAUUGAUAAGUUGGCGGUGAAAUGUCCGAGCUUAACUCCGGAACUGCCUCUAAUACUGUUGAUCUAGAGAGUAGAUGCGGCAGGCGGAAUGUAUGGUGUAGCGGUGAAAUGCUUAGAGAUCGUACAGAACCCCGAUUGCGAAGGCAGCUUACCAAUCUAUCUCUGACGUUGAGGCACGAAAGCGCGGGGAGCAAACAGGAUUAGAUACCCCAGUAGUC
Molecule: ribosomal RNA, 460 nt
Filed under: uncultured bacterium
Lineage: Bacteria
Description: partial 16S ribosomal RNA
Rfam family: Bacterial small subunit ribosomal RNA
Source: RNAcentral